UUGAGAAUCCUAAGACGAACGGGAGAAGCGUUGUUAAGGAACUCGGCAAAUUGACCCCGUAAGUUCGCAAUAAGGGGUGCCUCAGAAAUGAGGUCGCAGAGAAUAGGCCCAAGCAACUGUUUAACAAAAACACAGGUCUCUGCUAAAUCGAAAGAUGAAGUAUAGGGGCUGACGCCUGCCCGGUGCUGGAAGGUUACGGGAAUCUGUCAACGAAAGUGAAGCAGUGAACUUAAGCCCCAGUAAACGGCGGCCGUAACUAUAACGGUCCUAAGGUAGCGAAAUUCCUUGUCAGGUAAGUUCUGACCCGCACGAAUGGCGUAAUGAUUUGGGCACUGUCUCAACAACGUACCCGGCGAAAUUGUAGUACUUGUGAAGAUGCAAGUUACCCGCGACUAGACGGAAAGACCCCAUGGAGCUUUACUGUAGCCUGAUACUGGGUUUCGGUAUUCUUUGUACAGGAUAGGUGGGAGGUUAGGAAGUAUGGACGCCAGUUCAUAUGGAACCGACGUUGGGAUACCACUCUAAGAAUACUGGAACUCUAACCUGAGGCCAUAAGCUGGUCUAGGGACACUGUCAGGUGGGCAGUUUGACUGGGGCGGUCGCCUCCCAAAAGGUAACGGAGGCGUUCAAAGGUUACCUCAGCGCGGUUGGAAAUCGCGCAACGAGUGCAAAGGCAUAAGGUAGCCUGACUGCGAGACAGACAAGUCGAGCAGGUACGAAAGUAGGACUUAGUGAUCCGGCGGUAUGAAAGUGGAAUUGCCGUCGCUCAACGGAUAAAAGCUACCCUGGGGAUAACAGGCUGAUCUCCCCCAAGAGUCCACAUCGACGGGGAGGUUUGGCACCUCGAUGUCGGCUCAUCGCAUCCUGGAGCUGAAGUAGGUUCCAAGGGUUUGGCUGUUCGCCAAUUAAAGCGGUACGCGAGCUGGGUUCAGAACGUCGUGAGACAGUUCGGUCCCUAUCUGUCGCGGGCGCAGGAUAUUUGAAGGGAUCUGUCCUUAGUACGAGAGGACCGGGAUGGACGAACCUCUGGUGUACCAGUUGUACUACCAAGUGCAUAGCUGGGUAGCCAAGUUCGGAAGGGAUAAACGCUGAAGGCAUCUAAGCGUGAAACCCACCCUAAGAUGAGAUAUCCCACCGUAAGGGUAAGACCCCAUGUAGACUACAUGGUUGAUAGGCCAGAGGUGUAAGUGCAGUAAUGUAUUUAGCUGACUGGUACUAAUAGGUCGAGGGCUUGACCU
This 1238-nucleotide ribosomal RNA is filed under the name metagenome. RNAcentral describes it as "bacterial LSU rRNA". It matches the Rfam family "Bacterial large subunit ribosomal RNA", at positions 1672 to 2925 of the family's 2925-position model. The record is from RNAcentral.